RNAcentral lists this ribosomal RNA (837 nucleotides) under Bacteroides sp. HGA0123. RNAcentral describes it as "bacterial SSU rRNA". It matches the Rfam family "Bacterial small subunit ribosomal RNA", at positions 57 to 887 of the family's 1533-position model. The record is from RNAcentral. Lineage: Bacteria; Pseudomonadati; Bacteroidota; Bacteroidia; Bacteroidales; Bacteroidaceae.
GCAGUCGAGGGGCAGCAUGAUCUUAGCUUGCUAAGGCCGAUGGCGACCGGCGCACGGGUGAGUAACACGUAUCCAACCUGCCGUCUACUCUUGGACAGCCUUCUGAAAGGAAGAUUAAUACAAGAUGGCAUCAUGAGUCCGCAUGUUCACAUGAUUAAAGGUAUUCCGGUAGACGAUGGGGAUGCGUUCCAUUAGAUAGUAGGCGGGGUAACGGCCCACCUAGUCUUCGAUGGAUAGGGGUUCUGAGAGGAAGGUCCCCCACAUUGGAACUGAGACACGGUCCAAACUCCUACGGGAGGCAGCAGUGAGGAAUAUUGGUCAAUGGGCGAGAGCCUGAACCAGCCAAGUAGCGUGAAGGAUGACUGCCCUAUGGGUUGUAAACUUCUUUUAUAAAGGAAUAAAGUCGGGUAUGCAUACCCGUUUGCAUGUACUUUAUGAAUAAGGAUCGGCUAACUCCGUGCCAGCAGCCGCGGUAAUACGGAGGAUCCGAGCGUUAUCCGGAUUUAUUGGGUUUAAAGGGAGCGUAGAUGGAUGUUUAAGUCAGUUGUGAAAGUUUGCGGCUCAACCGUAAAAUUGCAGUUGAUACUGGAUAUCUUGAGUGCAGUUGAGGCAGGCGGAAUUCGUGGUGUAGCGGUGAAAUGCUUAGAUAUCACGAAGAACUCCGAUUGCGAAGGCAGCCUGCUAAGCUGCAACUGACAUUGAGGCUCGAAAGUGUGGGUAUCAAACAGGAUUAGAUACCCUGGUAGUCCACACGGUAAACGAUGAAUACUCGCUGUUUGCGAUAUACUGCAAGCGGCCAAGCGAAAGCGUUAAGUAUUCCACCUGGGGAGUACGCCG